Molecule: ribosomal RNA, 346 nt
Filed under: uncultured bacterium
Lineage: Bacteria
Description: partial 16S ribosomal RNA
Rfam family: Bacterial small subunit ribosomal RNA
Source: RNAcentral
CCUACGGGAGGCAGCAGUAGGGAAUAUUGCUCAAUGGGGGAAACCCUGAAGCAGCAACGCCGCGUGGAGGAUGAAGGUUUUAGGAUUGUAAACUCCUGUUGAGAGAGAAGAGAAGGACGGUAGAUCACGAAUAAGCACCGGCUAACUCCGUGCCAGCAGCCGCGGUAAUACGGCGGGGGCAAGCGUUACUCGGAAUCACUGGGCGUAAAGAGGGCGCAGGCGGGCUUGUAAGUCAGAUGUGAAAUCCUGUCGCUUACCUACAGAACUGCAUUUGAAACUAUGAGUCUAGCGUGUGGGAGAGUUCGUUGGAAUUCUUGGUGUAGCGGUCACAUCCGUAGAUAUCACG